CCUACGGGAGGCAGCAGUGAGGAAUAUUGGUCAAUGGACGAGAGUCUGAACCAGCCAAGUAGCGUGAAGGAUGACUGCCCUAUGGGUUGUAAACUUCUUUUAUAUGGGAAUAAAAUGUUCCACGUGUGGGAUUUUGUAUGUACCAUAUGAAUAAGGAUCGGCGAACUCCGUGCCAGCAGCCGCGGUAAUACGGAGGAUCCGAGCGUUAUCCGGAUUUAUUGGGUUUAAAGGGAGCGUAGGUGGAUUGUUAAGUCAGUUGUGAAAGUUUGCGGCUCAACCGUAAAAUUGCAGUUGAAACUGGCAGGCUUGAGUACAGUAGAGGUGGGCGGAAUUCGUGGUGUAGCGGUGAAAUGCUUAGAUAUCACGAAGAACUCCGAUUGCGAAGGCAGCUCACUGGACUGCAACUGACACUGAGGCUCGAAAGUGUGGGUAUCAAACAGGAUUAGAUACCCCGGUAGUC
Molecule: ribosomal RNA, 460 nt
Filed under: uncultured bacterium
Lineage: Bacteria
Description: partial 16S ribosomal RNA
Rfam family: Bacterial small subunit ribosomal RNA
Source: RNAcentral